UGUCAUAUUUGACUACAAACCGUAAACCAAGCUUCUUCUUACUUCUCAAAGCUUUGAUGGUGUAGCCGAAGUCCUUAUGAUAUUUGAUUUUGGAUCU
This 97-nucleotide small RNA is filed under the name Arabidopsis thaliana (thale cress). RNAcentral describes it as "ATSL200610". The record is from RNAcentral. Lineage: Eukaryota; Viridiplantae; Streptophyta; Magnoliopsida; Brassicales; Brassicaceae.